UACGUAGGUCCCGAGCGUUGUCCGGAUUUAUUGGGCGUAAAGCGAGCGCAGGUGGUUUAUUAAGUCUGGUGUAAAAGGCAGUGGCUCAACCAUUGUAUGCAUUGGAAACUGGUAGACUUGAGUGCAGGAGAGGAGAGUGGAAUUCCAUGUGUAGCGGUGAAAUGCGUAGAUAUAUGGAGGAACACCGGUGGCGAAAGCGGCUCUCUGGCCUGUAACUGACGUUGAGGCCCGAAAGCGUGGGGAGCAAACAGG
Molecule: ribosomal RNA, 252 nt
Filed under: uncultured bacterium
Lineage: Bacteria
Description: partial 16S ribosomal RNA
Rfam family: Bacterial small subunit ribosomal RNA
Source: RNAcentral